Molecule: long non-coding RNA, 245 nt
Filed under: Dunaliella salina
Lineage: Eukaryota; Viridiplantae; Chlorophyta; Chlorophyceae; Chlamydomonadales; Dunaliellaceae
Description: long non-coding RNA (DSAL_LNC000094)
Source: RNAcentral
UGACUUGAUAGGCACUCGCAGCAUCAGGCCCGCUUCGCAUGAGCCCAGCUGCACCAAUGACAUGAGAGGCAACAAAGUCAUCAACAUUCAGAUCAGAGGGGUUGUACACGUCCCCAGUACUCUCAAUGAAAUUUUGCAGUGCACAUAGAACUGUUGCAACAUUWGCAGCGAAGGUGGGGUUGAAGAGCCUGCUGUUUUUGAGGAUUGGGAAACGCUUCUUGAGCCUGCCAAAUGCACAUUCAACC